RNAcentral lists this ribosomal RNA (259 nucleotides) under uncultured bacterium. Its description in RNAcentral is "partial 16S ribosomal RNA". It matches the Rfam family "Bacterial small subunit ribosomal RNA", at positions 524 to 782 of the family's 1533-position model. The record is from RNAcentral.
UACGAAGGGGGCUAGCGUUGUUCGGAAUUACUGGGCGUAAAGCGCACGUAGGCGGAUAUUUAAGUCAGGGGUGAAAUCCCAGAGCUCAACUCUGGAACUGCCUUUGAUACUGGGUAUCUUGAGUAUGGAAGAGGUAAGUGGAAUUGCGAGUGUAGAGGUGAAAUUCGUAGAUAUUCGCAGGAACACCAGUGGCGAAGGCGGCUUACUGGUCCAUAACUGACGCUGAGGUGCGAAGGCGUGGGGAGCAAACNGGAUUAGA